CUCCUUAAUCCUUGCAAAGAACAUGAGUCACUGAGUCAGUAAAACCUUCAUUGACUCAUGUUUGUUGCUAGGGUCAAAGGAG
Molecule: microRNA precursor, 82 nt
Organism: Callithrix jacchus (white-tufted-ear marmoset)
Lineage: Eukaryota; Metazoa; Chordata; Mammalia; Primates; Cebidae
Source: Ensembl